Molecule: ribosomal RNA, 492 nt
Filed under: uncultured bacterium
Lineage: Bacteria
Description: partial 16S ribosomal RNA
Rfam family: Bacterial small subunit ribosomal RNA
Source: RNAcentral
AGUGAACGCUGGCGGUAGGCCUAACACAUGCAAGUCGAACGGCAGCACAGUAAGAGCUUGCUCUUACGGGUGGCGAGUGGCGGACGGGUGAGGAAUACAUCGGAAUCUACUUUUUCGUGGGGGAUAACGUAGGUAAACUUACUCUAAUACCGCAUACGACCUACGGGUGAAAGCAGGGGAUCUUCGGACCUUGCGCGAUUGAAUGAGCCGAUGUCGGAUUAGCUAGUUGGCGGGGUAAAGGCCCACCAAGUCGACGAUCCGUAGCUUGUCUGAGAGGAUGAUCAGCCACACUGGAACUGAGACACGGACCAGACUACUACGAGAGGCAGCAGUGGGGAAUAUUGGACAAUGGGCGCAAGCCUGAUCCAGCCAUACCGCGUGGGUGAAGAAGGCCUUCGGGUUGUAAAGCCCUUUUGUUGGGAAAGAAAAGCAGCAGGUUAAUACCCCGCUGUUCUGACGGUACCCAAAGAAUAAGCACCGGCUAACUUCGUG